RNAcentral lists this ribosomal RNA (498 nucleotides) under uncultured bacterium. RNAcentral describes it as "partial 16S ribosomal RNA". It matches the Rfam family "Bacterial small subunit ribosomal RNA", at positions 28 to 507 of the family's 1533-position model. The record is from RNAcentral.
GACGAACGCUGGCGGCGUGCCUAAUACAUGCAAGUCGAGCGGACGGAUGGGAGCUUGCUCCCAGACCGUCAGCGGCGGACGGGUGAGUAACACGUGGGCAACCUGCCUGUAAGACUGGGAUAACUCCGGGAAACCGGGGCUAAUACCGGAUAACUCUUUCCCUCACAUGAGGGAAAGCUGAAAGAUGGCAUCUCGCUAUCACUUACAGAUGGGCCCGCGGCGCAUUAGCUAGUUGGUGAGGUAACGGCUCACCAAGGCGACGAUGCGUAGCCGACCUGAGAGGGUGAUCGGCCACACUGGGACUGAGACACGGCCCAGACUCCUACGGGAGGCCGCAGUAGGGAAUCUUCCGCAAUGGACGAAAGUCUGACGGAGCAACGCCGCGUGAGUGAUGAAGGUUUUCGGAUCGUAAAACUCUGUUGUCAGGGAAGAACAAGUACCGGAGUAACUGCCGGUAGCUUGACGGUACCUGACCAGAAAGCCACGGCUAACUACGUG